ACCACGGUCCGGGGGACAAGGGGCUGGUCUCGAUAUCCCGGAGCGGUGGUAGGUGUCCCAGGGCGCCCACAAUCCGGCUGAUAUCCGUGGGUAGGUCGCUUCCGCCGAGCCGGGGCCCGGCUUGGCUGGCGGUCGUCAGGGCCCACGGUUGGAAGGCGGGGUGGGUGAGCAGCAUAUAGGCGGAGAGCGUCCGGACCCAGGGAUGGAGACUACCAUCUGCCCUCCCGUGUCCCCCGGUACCACCUGUGGUUCCUGCAGCUCCACCUGUCCCUGGCCCACAUGACGCGUUAGAUAGCCCGAGGGCCGCUAUGAUGAAGCGCACAGCCCAUACCGCAUGCCGAGCCUGGAUGUGUUGCUGGAGGGGCAGCAGGCCAAAGCCUCCAGCCGACGGGUGGCCGGUCAAGAGAUCCUUAGGCACCCCUGUCAAACGGCGGCCGGGGUCUUCUGGGCCCUGCUGCCGGUCGACGAGGCGGGCCGUUAGGCGUUCUAUUUCGUCCAGCGUACGGUUGGGGGGCGGCCCACCAUGCUCCAUGUGCCAGGUGACUGUCUGCAUUCCGUACACCGAUGCCGCUGUGGCUCGACCGAAUGCUGAUAGCGGGAAGCGGGAGAGCCGCUGCAGUCGCCGCUUGGCUUCCCCGAGUCUCUUCAUCCAGUCGGGCUGUGGCGGGGAUGGCUGGUUGUCAAUUGGCAGGUUCAGGGCGGUGGCGGUGGUCACCACCUUGAGACCUCCUAUUGACUCCUGCUGAGGGGCAGCUGAUUGGGGUCCGGCCUGGGUUGCAGGUUGCGNNNNNNNNNNNNNNNNNNNNNNNNNNNNNNNNNNNNNNNNNNNNNNNNNNNNNNNNNNNNNNNNNNNNNNNNNNNNNNNNNNNNNNNNNNACCUGCCCCGUCAAGCNUAUGGCGGUGAGCAGGCCAGCCAUGGUGGUGCCAAUGGCCGACCAGAAUUUCCUGUAGAUGUCGGCUGGGAUGCCGUCCCACCCCGGGGCCUUGCCAGGCUGGCUUUUCUUAAGAGCCUUUCGUAACUCGGUGGCCGUGAUGGUUCUGGAUCCCAGCUGUUCAUCUGCCUCUGCGGGUAGCGAGAUGUUGGCGGCCGCCAGGGAGUUUAGCACCUCCUGCUGGGCUUGGGGGCAGAUGUAGUUGGGAGCUCGGCUCACUUCACUCCAGAAGUCUGCGACCACCUGGGGAAGCUGGCUAGGAUUAGUCACUAGGCGGCCGGACUGGGCUUGCAGGGCGACGGGAGCUGGUUGUUGGUCCGCGCUUUGGGCCUGGAUGAACGCAGUCAUGGCUGGGCUCGGCCGCUCCCCUGCCCGUAGCCAGUGUAUGCGGGCCUCCAUCGCCUCCUUGCUGCAGUCCUCUCGGUGGGCCCGUGCUAGUGCCGCCUGUGCGUCCACCAGUUGCUGUAAGGGCUGCUGUGCUCCGGGUUCUGUGUCGACCCUUUGUCGGGCCUGCUGGACUGCUGGUAGGGCUGCUUGUACACGGGCUCCUGGGCGCAGCCUGCGAUGUUGCGCUGUUUUGUUGAGCUGAUGUGCACGAGUAGCGAGGCGGCGUUUGAAGGCAGGCCACCACUCGAUCAGGCCAGCAGGAUUGUCCUCCACAGAUGGGGCCGCGGCACACUGGUCGGUAAUCCAGGCCUCUCGGUAAGGGCUCUAGUCGCAGUAUGGUUAUAGCGGCUAAGUUAUGCCCAUUUUUAUGUAUGUAUGUAUGUAUGUAUGUAUGUAUGUAUGUAUGUAUGUAUGUAUGUAUGUAUGUAUGUAUGUAUGUAUGUAUGUAUGUAUGUAUGUAUGUAUGUAUGUAUGUAUGUAUGUAUGUAUGUAUGUAUGUAUGUAUGUAUGUAUGUAUGUAUGUAUGUAUGUAUGUAUGUAUGUAUGUAUGUAUGUAUGUAUGUAUGUAUGUAUGUAUGUAUGUAUGUAUGACGUUGAUUACACUGUGGGCUGAAAAGCCGGGGGCCCAGGGCCGAAGCACAGCGCGGGGGGCGGGUGCAUACGGCUGGUUAGUCUCAUGCACUCCGCCCCCGGGUCAGGCCGCACGGGAAACGACGGCCGGCACGCAACAGCGCUUGUUUGGCGCUCCAACUAGACGGGAUCUAUGCCCGUUGGUCUCCUAACAUAAACGAAGUCGCAACUGGGGGGCUCUUCCUGCCGACCGAACGAACCGAGCAUCUCAGAGAGCUCGCAACCAGGACCUGGGCGACCGGGAGCCCGACGAGUCAUCCCGGGCUGGGGAGGUCAUCCCGGGCUGGGGGGGUCAGUAGUGCCUGACCUAGGUAUAGUGUGCUGUAUGCAUGAAGGGAUGGGGGGGUGGACUUAUGGAUUUAUGGACAUGAACUAUGGACGUGUACUAAGGUGUAUUUCUGUACACAACAGAUUGAAUGACGUUUCCCCCCACCACUGCCGUACUGCCGUACAGGUCCCUGAAGAUGGAGGCGUUGCCGCCUUUCAUGGCCUUCCGCAUCCGCCGCAUCAUGCGGGAGGGUGUGCCGUACUGCAAGGUGUGUUUUGUGUGGCCCGUCGUCCCCUCCUGCAUGCUCCCUAUACCGCCUGCCUCGUUCCCCACACCCGCACCUCUCCAAAGCCCCUUUAGUCAUCAGUGUACGGCAUUCACGUAGCCGAUUCCCCCCCACCUCUGAUGAUCUCAAUCAUCAUUAUCAUCAUCGUCGUCAUCAUCACCAUCAUCAUACAUCAUCAUCAUACAUCAUAUUUAUAUUAUUAUCACCAUCAUCAGCAUCGUCAUCAUUACCAUCAUUAACAUUAUCACCAUCAUUAUCGUCAUCGUCAUCAUCAUUGUUCAAUCCCCCCCCCUUCCCCCGCAUUUCCCCAACCCCCCCCCCCCGUCACAUACAUCCGGAAUGUGUCAUCAGUCCACCGUCCAUUGACUAGGGGCACUAUUACCUUCAAUCAUUGGGAGGAUUUCCGACCCUGACAGGGGACCAAAAAUCCUCAUGCAAAAAAAGAGCGCAAAGAGCUCACACCACAAGACGCCAAACAGCCUCCUGAGACUACUACUCUCCUCCGCCUCUCCCUCCCUGGGCUAGUCCAGGGGAGAUAGCCCCCGUCGGGGGGGUAACACCGCACAAGUCCGCGCCCUUCCACAGCACUGGGUCUAACUUGAAAAGUACUCAAACGGGAAGACCCUGCGGCAACGCAGGGCGAUCAAGCCUCCGGAAACCACAGGGGGGGAGGGUAGCCAGCUCGGCGCCCCCCCAAUACCGCUCUACCAAGACGGCUGGUUCCCAAGAACCUAUCUCACCUAGACGCCGCAACACGAAAAACCCGGUCUCGUACCCUGAAAAACCUAGUCCUGCACCACGCGCGCACCUUCGAGUACGGCCCCUCCUUCUGGGUGCCCACCUCCCCCUCAUCCGCGCCCUCGCNNNNNNNNNNNNNNNNNNNNNNNNNNNNNNNNNNNNNNNNNNNNNNNNNNGACACCCUAUCCCCUUAUCCCCUAAACUCCAGCUCCCGCCGCGUCCGCUUGACCAUUAGGUCGUGAUGUCCACCGCCUCCGCGCAGCACAGUGCUCCCCCGACGAUUGACAGGAUCGGGUGGUGGGGUCCCCCUCCGUCCCAGCCCCGCCUUGGGACAUUGAGCGCGGUGAAAGAGCGCAAGCGCGCCCAGAAGUCCACUACUGCCCGAGCGCGGGCGUAUUCCAGGGGGGUUGCUGCUGCUGUUGCUGCUGCUGCUGCUGUUGCUGCUGCUGUUGCCGUCCCCGGUCCCGCGCUGGGCCCCUGCGUCUGAUCCUCGAGUACCGGCGCGUUCAGCGGCGGCCCCUCGUGCGGUCUCACUCCGUUGGCCAGGUGAAAGAAGUCCGUUAUCCGCCGCUGUUGGGGUCCUUGCGCCUGGAUCUGUUGCACUUGCUCUGGCUGUUCUGUCGCGGGGUUAGCCGCCCUUUCCAGUCGUCUUCCGGCUGCUCGCAGGCAGCACCUGCCUACCUCCAUAGCAGACAGGGCCGCCAGGGCGAUCACAUCCCAGGGGGCCUGCUCGCAGCCGGUUGGGGCUUGGACCAACCACAGCUGCUUCCGGGUGAUGCCGCCUGUCGCUGCCUCCUGGGAGGGCUGUAUGUGUCGGUCAAUCUGCUCCCGGACAGCUUGUGCGACGGGGCACUCCCAGAAGUGGUGCAUGCGUGGGGAGCAGUGCUGGUUGCUGGCGUUGCCGAACCCUCCACACCCACAGCGCUCAGGCACCAUGCGGGCCAGGUGCGUGUUGCCGGGCAGGGGGAUGCCGUCCACGGCGAGCCGCCACAGCGUUUCUUUGUUCUCGUUCUCCCACCGCACCCCCGACCACAAGCGGGCUUGCGUCGCCCUGAAGCGGCUUGUUUCCGCUGAGGAGGAAGGUGCCGUUUCCUGCGGGUCCAACGCUUCUUGCACAAAUGCUGCCAUCAAGCGUCCCCGUUUCUCCUCGGUGGCCCCGCAUUGCAGCUGUGUCGCUAGGCGGACCGUCAGGCGUGUGAGUGGGACGGUUGUUGUGCCGCCCGGUAUCUGCCAUCCGACCCGCUUUAGGAUCAUAGCCAUCGCCUGAGUGCUGUUGGGGGUGCUUGGAGCCGCCAUGUCCCCCGCCGUUGGCAUCUCUGGCUGCUGCUGUUGGGGUUGCUGCUCAUGCGGCUGCGUCUGUAGCUGUGGCUGCGGCUGUUGCUGCUGUUGCAGCUGCGGCUGAUGCUGUGUCUGUAGCUGUGGUUNNNNNNNNNNNNNNNNNNNNNNNNNNNNNNNNNNNNNNNNNNNNNNNNNNGCGCCCUCGCUACGGCCACCUGUUUCCACUCACCACCCCUCAACCCUACAUCCUCUUGGUGCUCUCUCUGCCUCUUCCCCUCCCCCCCCGGCUCUCCCCGCCCUUUCCCCGGUCUCCCCCCCCUCCGCCGGUACGGCUCCCCCAGGCAAAUAAACCCUCCCUCCCCCAUGUCCCCUUGCGCGGCACCCCCCCAAGCCCCAUCCCUGAUCCCGCCCCCCUCGCAACCUUUCCCCUCAACCUCCCUCUCGACCUCCCUACCACCCACACCACCUCAAAUCCCCCCUCCGCGCCUCGACACCCUAUCCCCUUAUCCCCUAAACUCCAGCUCCCGCCGCGUCCGCUUGACCAUUAGGUCGUGAUGUCCACCGCCUCCGCGCAGCACAGUGCUCCCCCGACGAUUGACAGGAUCGGGUGGUGGGGUCCCCCUCCGUCCCAGCCCCGCCUUGGGACAUUGAGCGCGGUGAAAGAGCGCAAGCGCGCCCAGAAGUCCACUACUGCCCGAGCGCGGGCGUAUUCCAGGGGGGUUGCUGCUGCUGUUGCUGUUGCUGCUGCUGUUGCUGCUGCUGUUGCCGUCCCCGGUCCCGCGAUGGGCCCCUGCGUCUGAUCCUCGAGUACCGGCGCGUUCAGCGGCGGCCCCUCGUGCGGUCUCACUCCGUUGGCCAGGUGAAAGAAGUCCGUUAUCCGCCGCUGUUGGGGUCCUUGCGCCUGGAUCUGUUGCACUUGCUCUGGCUGUUCUGUCGCGGGGUUAGCCGCCCUUUCCAGUCGUCUUCCGGCUGCUCGCAGGCAGCACCUGCCUACCUCCAUAGCAGACAGGGCCGCCAGGGCGAUCACAUCCCAGGGGGCCUGCUCGCAGCCGGUCGGGGCUUGGACCAACCACAGCUGCUUCCGGGUGAUGCCGCCUGUCGCUGCCUCCUGGGAGGGCUGUAUGUGUCGGUCAAUUUGCUCCCGGACAGCUUGUGCGACGGGGCACUCCCAGAAGUGGUGCAUGCGUGGGGAGCAGUGCUGGUUGCUGGCGUUGCCGAACCCUCCACACCCACAGCGCUCAGGCACCAUGCGGGCCAGGUGCGUGUUGCCGGGCAGGGGGAUGCCGUCCACAGCGAGCCGCCACAGCGUUUCUUUGUUCUCGUUCUCCCACCGCACCCCCGACCACAAGCGGGCUUGUGUCGCCCUGAAGCGGCUUGUUUCCGCUGAGGAGGAAGGUGCCGUUUCCUGCGGGUCCAACGCUUCUUGCACAAAUGCUGCCAUCAAGCGUCCCCGUUUCUCCUCGGUGGCCCCACAUUGCAGCUGUGUCGCUAGGCGGACCGUCAGGCGUGUGAGUGGGACGGUUGUUGUGCCGCCCGGUAUCUGCCAUCCGACCCGCUUUAGGAUCAUAGCCAUCGCCUGAGUGCUGUUGGGGGUGCUUGGAGCCGCCAUGUCCCCCGCCGUUGGCAUCUCUGGCUGCUGCUGUUGGGGUUGCUGCUCAUGCGGCUGCGUCUGUAGCUGUGGCUGCGUAUGUAUGUACGUAUGUAUGUAUGUAUGUAUGUAUGUAUGUAUGUAUGUAUGUAUGUAUGUAUGUAUGUAUGUAUGUAUGUAUGUAUGUAUGUAUGUAUGUAUGUAUGUAUGUAUGUAUGUAUGUAUGUAUGUAUGUAUGUAUGUAUGUAUGACGUUGAUUANNNNNNNNNNNNNNNNNNNNNNNNNNNNNNNNNNNNNNNNNNNNNNNNNNCACUGCUCUUGCAGCUUCGAGCCAGGCCGGGUUGAUAGCGCCAUGUAGCGUCUUAAGGGCUGCCAGGGUCGCUGACCUGUCCCGCGUGGGUGCUGGGGUUGAUGGGUCGAGGUGUGUCCUGACCCAUUCGGGCCAGGUCGACCUGGGGAGGGAGGCCACUCGAGUAUGCACCACUAGGUCCCAGACCCGCACUAGGUCGCCCACCGUUUGCAGUUUCCUGCAUGUAGCGAUCCCCACGAAGUGCGUCUCCAGGCCCGGGCGGCGGUUCAAACUGUCUGGGUCUGCCUCGCCGGUAUUGGGGAGCAACGGGUUACCCCACAACGCGGUUGCCCAGCACCACGGUCCGGGGGACAGGGGGCUGGUCUCGAUAUCCCGGAGCGGUGGUAGGUGUCCCAGGGCACCCACAAUCCGGCUGAUAUCCGUGGGUAGGUCGCUUCCGCCGAGUCGGGGCCCGGCUUGGCUGGCGGUCGUCAGGGCCCACGGUUGGAAGGCGGGGUGGGUGAGCAGCAUAUAGGCGGAGAGCGUCCGGACCCAGGGAUGGAGGCCACCAUCUGCCCUCCCGUGCCCCCCGGUACCACCUGUGGUUCCUGCAGCUCCACCUGUCCCUGGCCCACAUGACGCGUUAGAUAGCCCGAG
Molecule: long non-coding RNA, 7053 nt
Filed under: Volvox carteri
Lineage: Eukaryota; Viridiplantae; Chlorophyta; Chlorophyceae; Chlamydomonadales; Volvocaceae
Description: long non-coding RNA (VCAR_LNC003511)
Source: RNAcentral